GAGAGACGGAGAGCCUGUGCAUGGGUAUGCAUUUCAGCAAGGCAGCCGUCACACACUGCCCGUCCCUCCAGGAGAAACAGAGGCCACGCACACAACUGAUGCUCCAGGCGUGGAUGGUGAAGGAAAUGCAAAUGCCAUAGAAGAUAUACAGAAGUACUGCCUGGCACUUGCUGCAGCUUUCCUGGUUUCCAUGCUGGUAGCGAUGAUUACGUGCUGUCUUCUUAUCCAGCAACGGUGGCAGAGAAACCAGU
This 251-nucleotide long non-coding RNA is filed under the name Gallus gallus (chicken). Its description in RNAcentral is "long non-coding RNA NONGGAT005470". The record is from RNAcentral. Lineage: Eukaryota; Metazoa; Chordata; Aves; Galliformes; Phasianidae.